GAGAGAGAAGUGAGAAUCUUCUCGGCCGAAUAUCCAAGGUUUCCAGGGUAAAGCUGAUCUGCCCUGGGUAAGUCGGGGCCUAAGGCGAGGUCGGAAGACGUAGCCGAUGGACAACAGGUUGAAAUUCCUGUACUGUGAUAUAUCAGAACUGUGGGGACACAGCGGGAAGGCAUGGGCCGGAAAAGGAAAAUCCGGUGCAAGCACCAGAGGAGUAUGGCAGGCAAAUCCGCCAUGCAAUCCGAAAGUGUGAAGCGGAGCGAACAAAAGUAGCGAAGCAUGCUUACCGGCUGUCGAGAAAAGCCGCUAUUGCGUAUAUCACACUCGUACCGUAAACCGACACAGGUGGAUGAGGAGAGAAUCCUAAGGCCGGCGGGAGAAGCAUUGUUAAGGAACUCGGCAAAAUGACCCCGUAACUUCGGGAGAAGGGGUGCUCUUGAAAAAGAGCCGCAGAGAAUUGGCCCAAGCAACUGUUUAGCAAAAACACAGGUCUAUGCAAAACCGAAAGGUGAGGUAUAUGGGCUGACGCCUGCCCGGUGCUGGAAGGUUAAGAGGAGAGGUUAUCGAAAGAGAAGCCUUGAGUUUAAGCCCCAGUAAACGGCGGCCGUAACUAUAACGGUCCUAAGGUAGCGAAAUUCCUUGUCGGGUAAGUUCCGACCCGCACGAAAGGCGUAAUGAUUUGGGCACUGUCUCGACAAUGCACCCGGUGAAAUUGAAAUACCAGUGAAGAUGCUGGUUACCUGCGCCAGGACGGAAAGACCCCAUGGAGCUUUACUCUAGCUUGAUACUGGGAUUCGGUAUUGCAUGUACAGGAUAGGUGGGAGGCUGCGAAGUGAUGACGCCAGUUGUCACGGAGCCGAUGUUGGGAUACCACCCCUGCAGUACUGGGUUUCUAACCUGCGGCCGUAACCCGGCCGGGGGACAAUGUCUGGUGGGGAGUUUGACUGGGGCGGUCGCCUCCGAAAGAGUAUCGGAGGCGCUCAAAGGUUCCCUCAGAAUGGUUGGAAACCAUUCGAAGAGUGCAAAGGCAGAAGGGAGCUUGACUGCGACACCGACGGGUGGAGCAGGUACGAAAGUAGGACUUAGUGAUCCGGUGGUAUGAAAGUGGGAUUCCCAUCGCUCAACGGAUAAAAGCUACCCUGGGAUAACAGGCUUAUCACUCCCAAGAGUUCACAUCGACGGAGUGGUUUGGCACCUCGAUGUCGGCUCAUCGCAUCCUGGGGCUGUAGUAGGUCCCAAGGGUUGGGCUGUUCGCCCAUUAAAGCGGUACGCGAGCUGGGUUCAGAACGUCGUGAGACAGUUCGGUCCCUAUCCGGCGUGGGCGUAGGAUAUCUGAGAGGAGCCGUCCUUAGUACGAGAGGACCGGGAUGGACUGACCUCUGGUGGACCGGUUGCACUGCCAAGUGCAUGGCCGGGUAGCCAAGUCGGGACGGGAUAAACGCUGAAGGCAUCUAAGCGUGAAGCCCCCCUCAAGAUGAGAUAUCCCAUAACGUAAGUUAGUAAGACCCCUUGAAGACGACGAGGUAGAUAGGUGAAAGGUGGAAGCACGGUGACGUGUGGAGCUGAUUCAUACUAAUAGGUCGAGGGCUUAACGA
This 1592-nucleotide ribosomal RNA is filed under the name metagenome. RNAcentral's name for it is "bacterial LSU rRNA". It matches the Rfam family "Bacterial large subunit ribosomal RNA", at positions 1311 to 2925 of the family's 2925-position model. The record is from RNAcentral.